GAUGAACGCUAGCGAUAGGCCUAACACAUGCAAGUCGAGGGGCAGCAUUGCUUGUAGCAAUACAACCAGAUGGCGACCGGCGCACGGGUGAGUAACACGUAUGCAACCUACCUUCUACAGAGGCAUAGCCCGAAGAAAUUCGGAUUAAUACCCCAUAACACAAGCCUGCCGCAUGGCAGACUUGUUAAAGAAGCAAUUCAGUAGAAGAUGGGCCUGCGUUCCAUUAGCCGGUUGGUGAGGUAACGGCUCACCAAAGCAACGAUGGAUAGGGGAACUGAGAGGUUUAUCCCCCACACUGGAGCUGAGACACGGACCAGACUCCUACGGGAGGCAGCAGUGAGGAAUAUUGGUCAAUGGGCGAAAGCCUGAACCAGCCAAAUCGCGUGAAGGAAGACAGCCCUACGGGUUUUAAACUUCUUUUGUAAGAGAGUAAAAAGUGCUACGAGUAGCACCUUGCAAGUAUCUUACGAAUAAGCAUCGGCUAACUCCGUGCCAGCCGCCGCCGUAAAAC
This 511-nucleotide ribosomal RNA is filed under the name uncultured bacterium. RNAcentral describes it as "bacterial SSU rRNA". It matches the Rfam family "Bacterial small subunit ribosomal RNA", at positions 28 to 526 of the family's 1533-position model. The record is from RNAcentral.